UUAAGUUAGAAAGGGCGCACGGUGAAUGCCUUGGCACUAGGAGCCGAUGAAGGACGGGACGAACACCGAUAUGCUUCGGGGAGCUGUAAGCAAGCUUUGAUCCGGAGAUUUCCGAAUGGGGAAACCCACCACUCGUAAUGGAGUGGUAUCCAUAUCUGAAUACAUAGGAUAUGAGAAGGCAGACCCGGGGAACUGAAACAUCUAAGUACCCGGAGGAAGAGAAAGCAAAUGCGAUUCCCUGAGUAGCGGCGAGCGAAACGGGACCAGCCCAAACCAAGAGGCUUGCCUCUUGGGGUUGUAGGACACUCUGUACGGAGUUACAAAGGAACGAGGUAGAUGAAGAGGUCUGGAAAGGCCCGCCAUAGGAGGUAACAGCCCUGUAGUCAAAACUUCGUUCUCUCCUGAGUGGAUCCUGAGUACGGCGGAACACGUGAAAUUCCGUCGGAAUCCGGGAGGACCAUCUCCCAAGGCUAAAUACUCCCUAGUGACCGAUAGUGAACCAGUACCGUGAGGGAAAGGUGAAAAGCACCCCGGAAGGGGAGUGAAAGAGAUCCUGAAACCGUGUGCCUACAAGUAGUCAGAGCCCGUUAACGGGUGAUGGCGUGCCUUUUGUAGAAUGAACCGGCGAGUUACGAUCCCGUGCAAGGUUAAGCAGAAGAUGCGGAGCCGCAGCGAAAGCGAGUCUGAAUAGGGCGAAUUGAGUACGUGGUCGUAGACCCGAAACCAGGUGAUCUACCCAUGUCCAGGGUGAAGUUCAGGUAACACUGAAUGGAGGCCCGAACCCACGCACGUUGAAAAGUGCGGGGAUGAGGUGUGGGUAGGGGUGAAAUGCCAAUCGAACCUGGAGAUAGCUGGUUCUCUCCGAAAUAGCUUUAGGGCUAGCCUCAAGGUAAGAGUCUCGGAGGUAGAGCACUGAUUGGACUAGGGGCCCCUACCGGGUUACCGAAUUCAGUCAAACUCCGAAUGCCGAUGACUUAUCCUUGGGAGUCAGACUGCGAGUGAUAAGAUCCGUAGUCGAAAGGGAAACAGCCCAGACCGCCAGCUAAGGUCCCAAAGUAUACGUUAAGUGGAAAAGGAUGUGGAGUUGCUUAGACAACCAGGAUGUUGGCUUAGAAGCAGCCACCAUUUAAAGAGUGCGUAAUAGCUCACUGGUCGAGUGACUCUGCGCCGAAAAUGUACCGGGGCUAAACGUAUCACCGAAGCUGCGGACUGUUCUUCGAACAGUGGUAGGAGAGCGUUCUAAGGGCUGUGAAGCAAGACCGGAAGGACUUGUGGAGCGCUUAGAAGUGAGAAUGCCGGUAUGAGUAGCGAAAGAGGGGUGAGAAUCCCCUCCACCGAAUGCCUAAGGUUUCCUGAGGAAGGCUCGUCCGCUCAGGGUUAGUCGGGACCUAAGCCGAGGCCGAAAGGCGUAGGCGAUGGAUAACAGGUUGAUAUUCCUGUACCACCUCCUCACCAUUUGAGCAAUGGGGGGACGCAGGAGGAUAGGGUAAGCGCGGUAUUGGAUAUCCGCGUCCAAGCAGUUAGGCUGGGAAAUAGGCAAAUCCGUUUCCCGUGAAGGCUGAGCUGUGAUGGCGAGCGAAUUAUAGUAGCGAAGUUCCUGAUUCCACACUGCCAAGAAAAGCCUCUAGCGAGGUGAGAGGUGCCCGUACCGCAAACCGACACAGGUAGGCGAGGAGAGAAUCCUAAGGUGAUCGAGAGAACUCUCGUUAAGGAACUCGGCAAAAUGACCCCGUAACUUCGGGAGAAGGGGUGCUCUGUUAGGGUGCAAGCCCGAGAGAGCCGCAGUGAAUAGGCCCAGGCGACUGUUUAGCAAAAACACAGGUCUCUGCGAAGCCGUAAGGCGAAGUAUAGGGGCUGACGCCUGCCCGGUGCUGGAAGGUUAAGAGGAGCGCUUAGCGUAAGCGAAGGUGCGAAUUGAAGCCCCAGUAAACGGCGGCCGUAACUAUAACGGUCCUAAGGUAGCGAAAUUCCUUGUCGGGUAAGUUCCGACCCGCACGAAAGGCGCAACGAUCUGGGCACUGUCUCAACGAGAGACUCGGUGAAAUUAUAGUACCUGUGAAGAUGCAGGUUACCCGCGACAGGACGGAAAGACCCCGUGGAGCUUUACUGCAGCCUGAUAUUGAAUGUUGGUACAGCUUGUACAGGAUAGGUAGGAGCCUUGGAAACCGGAGCGCCAGCUUCGGUGGAGGCAUCGGUGGGAUACUACCCUGGCUGUAUUGACCUUCUAACCCGCCGCCCUUAUCGGGCGGGGAGACAGUGUCAGGUGGGCAGUUUGACUGGGGCGGUCGCCUCCUAAAAGGUAACGGAGGCGCCCAAAGGUUCCCUCAGAAUGGUUGGAAAUCAUUCGCAGAGUGUAAAGGCACAAGGGAGCUUGACUGCGAGACCUACAAGUCGAGCAGGGACGAAAGUCGGGCUUAGUGAUCCGGUGGUUCCGCAUGGAAGGGCCAUCGCUCAACGGAUAAAAGCUACCCCGGGGAUAACAGGCUUAUCUCCCCCAAGAGUCCACAUCGACGGGGAGGUUUGGCACCUCGAUGUCGGCUCAUCGCAUCCUGGGGCUGUAGUCGGUCCCAAGGGUUGGGCUGUUCGCCCAUUAAAGCGGUACGCGAGCUGGGUUCAGAACGUCGUGAGACAGUUCGGUCCCUAUCCGUCGCGGGCGCAGGAAAUUUGAGAGGAGCUGUCCUUAGUACGAGAGGACCGGGAUGGACGCACCGCUGGUGUACCAGUUGUUCUGCCAAGGGCAUCGCUGGGUAGCUAUGUGCGGACGGGAUAAGUGCUGAAAGCAUCUAAGCAUGAAGCCCCCCUCAAGAUGAGAUUUCCCAUUCCGCAAGGAAGUAAGAUCCCUGAAAGAUGAUCAGGUUGAUAGGUCUGAGGUGGAAGUGUGGCGACACAUGGAGCUGACAGAUACUAAUCGAUCGAGGACUUAACCAA
This 2928-nucleotide ribosomal RNA is filed under the name Bacillus velezensis. RNAcentral's name for it is "bacterial LSU rRNA". It matches the Rfam family "Bacterial large subunit ribosomal RNA". The record is from RNAcentral. Lineage: Bacteria; Bacillati; Bacillota; Bacilli; Caryophanales; Bacillaceae.